CUUGAUGGAACCGAGCCAGAGCGGCUGGUCCGUCGGCUCCCGGCGGCCGUAGGUGGCCAACAGUGCCUGCGCCUC
Molecule: antisense RNA, 75 nt
Filed under: Micromonospora sp. CNZ299
Lineage: Bacteria; Bacillati; Actinomycetota; Actinomycetes; Micromonosporales; Micromonosporaceae
Description: ASpks TB sRNA
Rfam family: ASpks TB sRNA
Source: RNAcentral